This is a long non-coding RNA of Epinephelus moara (kelp grouper), 1765 nucleotides long. RefSeq lists it as uncharacterized. The transcript has 2 exons. The record is from RefSeq and is a predicted model, not a curated record. NCBI's taxonomy places the organism in Eukaryota, Metazoa, Chordata, Actinopteri, Perciformes, Serranidae.
AUAUCUCCACGAUGCAACUUGAUUUUAAUUCAUGUGAAGAAUCAGAUGAAACUAGAGUUUUAAUUUUAAAUGUUUUUAUUAGAAAACACAACAUGAACCUGCAGACAGAACUCAGGGUUUACAAUAAAAGACGCAGCAUUGAGAAGGCUCAAAUUUUACCAUUGUGUGGUCUGAUGAUGUCACAUUGAUGUCAUCAGGGUCUACAGAUGUGUAAUGCUGCAAUCCAUUGCAAGUCGGAAGUCCAUAAUUCCAAGUUGGAGUUUCCAAUAUCCGAUAUAAAUGCGUCACAGCGCGUCUGCUCGGGGAAACGUAGACGCCUUUGUAUGUCAAGUCUCUGAGCUUUACAACCAUCUACAGAGGACCGACAUCAAUCAAACGGGUGCUGUGACAUUAGGUGUGUUUAUGUCGACGAACUCGAGCUCAAAUUUCCGACUUCACUGACCGUUCCUGUUUUUUUCUGAGUUGCGAGUACAACAGAUUGCAGCAUUACAGUCUGUGUUAGGCUCCAAUGAAAGACACUCCAGGUGCAUCAUGGGAAAUGUAGUAUCCAGUGUUUCUGGAUUAAAAAACAAAAAACUACAUGAUGAAGAGACUCUGGAGGAGUUAAGACACAGGGAGGAUGAUGAGGAUGAUGGUGAUGCUCUGAUGUGAUGAAGGUCACAAACACCUGAGGAAGAAGAGGUGACACUUGGAGCCUGGAGGACAGUCGCACAGCUGACCGAAGCGAGGACCUUUCUUCACCGAGCAGGACGCCCUGGCCUCACACUGAGACAGACAGACAGACAGACAGACAGGUCAGAGUUCUGUCUACAGUUCUACAGUCUGCAGGAUACUACAGUAACACUGUGAUGUUUGUCUCACGGUCGGGAGGCGGCUCUGUCUUCUGUUCAAAUUCGACGACUUCCUGUUCUGAAGUUUCUCCAGAACGUUCUGAAGGACGAGCAGCUGACAGACAGACAAUAUAACAGAGUGACUCACCAGCUCUCUGCUGUCCUCUGACUUUCUCUCUGUUUCAUCCGUCCAUGGACUUCCUGUCUCACCCGAGGACGCGAGGAGGAGGAGGAGGAGAGACAGCAGGACAAUGAAGAUGGAGGUCGGUGUGUUCAUGUUGCUGCGGAGGGUCAGAGGAAGACCUCAGCUGGAGGAAACAAAGUAGUAGUGAUGUGCUGUUGGAUGAGAUGAGCAGGUCUGAGUCUGUGCUGCUGACGCUCAGAUUAACCUGCUGCUCAUUAUGCAACUGAACACACCACGAUGAGUGAAAACAUGUCAGCCUAAUGAGAUUGGACUCAUUCAGUGUGUCUGCUUCACAAGAAUCAACAAGCUGUAACUCUUCACUGCCUGAUGGUGUCACGCUCAUUGUUCUCUCCUCUGCACAGUGUCUUUAUUUCUGCUGUUUGUGUUCAGUGAUAACUUUUUGUUAUUGUAGAUUGUUUUGAAUUAUUGAUUAAUUUUUGUCUGGAUGUGUAUUUUGUUAUUUGUGAAAUCACAGCAACCAAUUUAAAUGGCCAGUUUUAUGAUAAUCUGUAUUUACAGUAUUUGCACCUGAACAGUACGGUGUCCUGUGUGGGUCAGUUCCAGCAGCAGUUACAUAAACAGUUAAUCUGUUCUCAAACUUAAUCUUUUCUUUAUUUAGGAUGAACUAAUGAAUGGAAACACAUCAACAACAUGAGGGAGUGACAUCAUCAAGCUGGAAACACAUGAGUCACCAGAUAAACAGUCAAUAAAUCAGCUGUGAUUAAAGGGACAGUUUGAUAGUUUCCUCUUA